Long non-coding RNA from Nicotiana attenuata, 2131 nucleotides. RefSeq lists it as uncharacterized. The record is from RefSeq and is a predicted model, not a curated record. Lineage: Eukaryota; Viridiplantae; Streptophyta; Magnoliopsida; Solanales; Solanaceae. The transcript is spliced from 2 exons.
AAUCGAUAAUCGAUAAGUAAUUAUCGAUAAGGGCCAAAAUCGAAUCGAUAAAUCGAAUGCACACCCCUAGUUGAGUGUUAAAAACAAAGUCUCCAGAACUUUUUAUUUUAUCAUAUCUGUGGAAUUUAGCCGUGUGGUCCUGAAAUUUAUUAAAGUAAUCUUAUAAGGUAGUAAUAACAAUUUAUGUGGGACUUAAGCAAACAAUGAAUGAAUUAUCUUGUUUCUCUAAUUGGUUGAAUCACAUAUGAGAUGAGAUUACAGCCUACGGAAAAAAGAAAUAUAACAAAAAUUAACAUAAGGGACUGAUAAUAUUUAGCUCAAUAUUCUUUUGUAUUGUCAAAUAUAAUUAUCCGCAGUCUGUACUAUUGGAUGAAUGGCGAUCUGGUUUGUAACAUGAAUGACUUGCUGGACUAGUUAAAAUCUUUGAGCAUGUGAUGCAAAACAAGUCCAGAUAUUUUGUAAAUUAUGCUGUACCAGCUUAGUACUGUUUAUAAAUAGAACGCUAACUAAAAAAAAGUAUUUUGCUCAAUGUCGCCUUUGAUAAUUCUUAUUAUCUCUUUCUUAGAUGUUCUCGCAUAAUGUGAUGUGGGGCAUUCUGCUCUAUUUUAGAUCCUGCAGCUAAGUGAGAGUACGCGACUUUGACUCAACCUUCUAUUUGCUUUAUGACAAUCAGGGAUUUGCUUCAGAGAAUCUGUCUGGAUUACAAGAAAGCUCAGUAACUUAAAUGGAGAUUAGCCUUGUAUAAGCAAUAACGUUUCAAAAAUACACGUUUUACUCAAUUACAAGUUUGCAACCGAUUCAUCCACCGAGGAACUUGCAUGCAGUACUUCUUAUGCAACCCAAGUGACUAAUGCUGCUAACCAUCAAUACAUUUGGCUGAGCAUCCCUCCGUGUCAUCAUCAUUGUUUCUUAUCUUAGCUUUGAAUUCUUUCCUUCUCCCUGUUGUAUAAUCCUUGAUUCUUUCUCCUUUGUUGCAUCAGUUGGUGUCUGAAAUCCAUUGUUGUAUGAUAUCUUUCUAAGGUUACCACUCAACCCUGAAACAUUGUGUUUUGCUCAGAAAAUCUUGGUAUGUGCAGUGUCGGCUCCUUUAACCUUGUCAAAUUACAUCUUGACGCCUCAGCCUACUGCAACAAAGAUAUAGCUGGCUUUGUUGUUUGUGAUCUGCUAGUGGUGGGUAUGAACCUCACCACAUGAUCUCUAACAAGUAAAGCAUACUUAUGGCCAGAAAUACAUGUUAAGUUAACACACGUGGAUUUUGAAGUGGUGAAUCCAUGUAAUGGCUUGCUCUGCUUCUUAGAACCGUUGUUCUAUGAUCCAGUGUGGGUUCGCGGUCUAAUUGUUAGUUCAGUACAUCACCCAUUCACAAGCAUGUGAUUGAACUUGAGGAUGAUAUUUAUUUCUGGAUUUCGGGUUGAUAGAAAUUCUGGUACCUGAAACGGAUGAACCUAUCAGAAGAAGACACCCAACGUGGUGAUGGUCUAGGGUGCAAGGUGAAUAUGAUCAAGCUUAGGUUGAAGCAGCUAUGUAUGAGCAAUUAAUCAACAUCCAAAUGCUGAUCAUUCUUCUCCACCACUUCUACCUUUUGAAACUCCGCGUUGUGAUCCUGAACUACUGGGAGGGUUCAAUGGGCAGGCAAAUACCCUCAGAAUGCUCAACCUCUACAUCAUUCUGGAGGAUUUGUGCCCAUAUUGAGUCGAUGAAACUAUGCAGGGCCUAAUUCUUUGAGGUGUAAUAUUCAUAGAAUUGCUUUGACUGAGCAGUGAAUGCAGAAUAAGUAUGGUGCAUGCUUCACUGUUUUAUGAAACCAAGCUGGAAAGGAAGAAGCUGGUAAAUUCAGUUAUGCCAUUGAACCUCUUUGUCCGACAAACUUCUGCACUGGUUUAUGAUAUGAUGAUUUCUGUGUUUUUUUCACAUUCUUGGGCAGUGACAUUUUGAUUGGUUUUUAUUGUUCGUCUUCCAUCAGGAAUUUGCGUACUUUCUUUUUUGACUAGGUGUAAGUAGUAAGCAAUCAUCAGUGGAAUCUCCAAUUGCCAAUGGAAAUAGACACUGCCUAAAGGAAAAAGAACAUUCAGGGGCACCUCAUUCCCAAGUAAUUGUACCAUAAAUUUGUGAAUGUUGCUCUUUAGUGUUC